Molecule: ribosomal RNA, 484 nt
Filed under: uncultured bacterium
Lineage: Bacteria
Description: partial 16S ribosomal RNA
Rfam family: Bacterial small subunit ribosomal RNA
Source: RNAcentral
AUUGAACGCUGGCGGCAGGCCUAACACAUGCAAGUCGAGCGGAUGAAGGGAGCUUGCUCCUGGAUUCAGCGGCGGACGGGUGAGUAAUGCCUAGGAAUCUGCCUGGUAGUGGGGGAUAACGUCCGGAAACGGGCGCUAAUACCGCAUACGUCCUGAGGGAGAAAGUGGGGGAUCUUCGGACCUCACGCUAUCAGAUGAGCCUAGGUCGGAUUAGCUAGUUGGUGGGGUAAAGGCCUACCAAGGGGACGAUCCGUAACUGGUCAGAAAGGAUGAUCAGUCACACUGGAACUGGGACACGCUCCAGACUCCUACGGGAGGCAGCAGUGGGGAAUUUUGGACAAUGGGCGAAAGCCUGAUCCAGCCAUGCCGCGUGUGUGAAGAAGGUCUUCGGAUUGUAAAGCACUUUAAGUUGGGAGGAAGGGCAGUAAGUUAAUACCUUGCUGUUUUGACGUUACCAACAGAAUAAGCACCGGCUAACUUCGUG